RNAcentral lists this transfer RNA (74 nucleotides) under Acidimicrobiaceae bacterium. RNAcentral's name for it is "tRNA-Pro". It matches the Rfam family "tRNA". From Rfam's summary of the family: Transfer RNA (tRNA) molecules are approximately 80 nucleotides in length. Their secondary structure includes four short double-helical elements and three loops (D, anti-codon, and T loops). Lineage: Bacteria; Bacillati; Actinomycetota; Acidimicrobiia; Acidimicrobiales; Acidimicrobiaceae. The record is from RNAcentral. RNAcentral also lists the same sequence under 3 other names.
CGGGAUGUGGCGCAGCCAGGUAGCGCACCUGCUUUGGGAGCAGGGGGUCGGGAGUUCAAAUCUCCCCAUCCCGA